Molecule: ribosomal RNA, 484 nt
Filed under: uncultured bacterium
Lineage: Bacteria
Description: partial 16S ribosomal RNA
Rfam family: Bacterial small subunit ribosomal RNA
Source: RNAcentral
GAUGAACGCUGGCGGCGUGCUUAACACAUGCAAGUCGAACGGUGAAGCAGGAGCUUGCUCUUGUGGAUCAGUGGCGAACGGGUGAGUAACACGUGAGCAACCUGCCCCUGACUCUGGGAUAAGCGCUGGAAACGGCGUCUAAUACUGGAUAUGUGAUGUGACCGCAUGGUCUGCAUCUGGAAAGAAUUUCGGUUGGGGAUGGGCUCGCGGCCUAUCAGCUUGUUGGUGAGGUAAUGGCUCACCAAGGCGUCGACGGGUAGCCGGCCUGAGCGGGUGACCGGACACACUGGGACUGAGACACGGCCCAGACUCCUACGGGAGGGAGCAGUGGGGAAUAUUGCACAAUGGGCGGAAGCCUGAUGCAGCAACGCCGCGUGAGGGAUGACGGCCUUCGGGUUGUAAACCUCUUUUAGCAGGGAAGAAGCGAAAGUGACGGUACCUGCAGAAAAAGCACCGGCUAACUACGUGUCAGCCGCCGCAGUAA